CGGCUAACUACGUGCCAGCAGCCGCGGUAAUACGUAGGUGGCAAGCGUUAUCCGGAAUUAUUGGGCGUAAAGCGCGCGCAGGUGGUUUCUUAAGUCUGAUGUGAAAGCCCMCGGCUCAACCGUGGAGGGUCAUUGGAAACUGGGAGACUUGAGUGCMGAAGAGGAAAGUGGAAUUCCAUGUGUAGCGGUGAAAUGCGUAGAGAUAUGGAGGAACACCAGUGGCGAAGGCGACUUUYUGGUCUGUAACUGACMMUGAGGCGCGAAAGCGUGGGGAGCAAACMGGAUUAGAUWCCCUGGUAGUYCMCGCCGUAAACGAUGAGUGSUAAGUGUUAGAGGGUUUYCGCCCUUUAGUGSUGAAGUUAACGCMUUAAGCMMUYCGCCUGGGGAGUWCGGCCGCAAGGSUGAAAMUCAAAGGAAUUGACGGGGGCCCGCMCMAGCGGUGGAGCMUGUGGUUUAAUUYGAAGCAAC
Molecule: ribosomal RNA, 468 nt
Filed under: Bacillus cereus
Lineage: Bacteria; Bacillati; Bacillota; Bacilli; Caryophanales; Bacillaceae
Description: partial 16S ribosomal RNA
Rfam family: Bacterial small subunit ribosomal RNA
Source: RNAcentral